Molecule: ribosomal RNA, 301 nt
Filed under: uncultured bacterium
Lineage: Bacteria
Description: partial 16S ribosomal RNA
Rfam family: Bacterial small subunit ribosomal RNA
Source: RNAcentral
CAGUAGCCACGGGAAUACGUAGGGUGCAAGCGUUAAUCGGAAUUACUGGGCGUAAAGCGUGCGCAGGCGGUCGUGUAAGUUAGAGGUGAAAGCCUGGGGCUCAACUCCAGAAUUGCCUUUAAGACUGCAUCGCUUGAACGUCGGAGAGGUGAGUGGAAUUCCGAGUGUAGAGGUGAAAUUCGUAGAUAUGCGGAGGAACACCGAUGGCGAAGGCAAUCCCCUGGACCUGUACUGACGCUCAUGCACGAAAGCGUGGGGAGCAAACAGGAUUAGAUACCCCUGUAGUCCCUGUCUCUUAUAC